UUUAACCCUAAUAUGAAUAAAUCUCAUAUUA
RNAcentral lists this transfer RNA (31 nucleotides) under Glossiphonia elegans. Its description in RNAcentral is "partial tRNA-Leu". Lineage: Eukaryota; Metazoa; Annelida; Clitellata; Rhynchobdellida; Glossiphoniidae. The record is from RNAcentral.